AGGCUGUUUGAAAAUAUUUCAGGAAGUGAAUAUCCGCUUUGACGCGGACGUAAACAAACGUAGCUUAGCAAUCUAUUCACUGUUGUAACGACAGAGAGAUUGUAUAGUAGUACAAUGUAUUUCUCUGCCGCCUAGAUCUAGAACGGUCUGAUAUCCGAUAACAGGAACCGCGUUUGGUUAGGAGCUUUACUUGAGAAGAUCUCAACUCAACAAUGUCUACUUCAAAUUUCAAGAAUAAGUGUGUGACGCAAGUCAACUGUGUAUACUGUGAUAGUCUGCUGUGUAUGAGGGGGAUGAAAGCAGUACUUUUGGCUGAUACGGAAAUAGAGUUGUUCUCAACCGACAUACCCCCAAAUAGGACAGUUGAUUUUGUGGCAAGCUGCUAUUCUACUGAAAGCUGCAAAUGCAAAUUAAGAGACAUUGCUUGCUUGAAAUGUGGGAAUGUUGUGGGAUAUCACGUGGUGGCCCCAUGCAAGCCCUGCUUGCUCUCCUGCAACAAUGGUCACUUCUGGAUGUUCAACAGUGAUGCUGUGUCCACCAUCAAUAGACUGGAUGCAACAGGUUUGAGACAUCUGGUGUAAAAACACUGUCUAUGCCCACUGCUUAUGGUCAGACAGCAUUUGCAUACCAUUGUUUCAUAGAUUAUCUGCUCAUAUCCUUCAAAGAUUCUAUGUAAACACAAAAGGGCAGAACCUUCUGCUGUGGGGAGAUCUUCCAGAACUGGAAGACAGCGAUGAUGAGAGCCUGGACAGUUUCUCAGAAGAAGAGUACCUCAGAUAAAAAUGCUCACGGCCAAAGGAAGUAGACUCUUACGGUAGCGAACUAGUUUGCUUUCACUCACACAGAUCUCCGUUUAAAGCACAUUGUCUUGUCUUUAGCUGACUGGGAAAAGGCAAAAGAUCUUUAUCGUAGCUUGAUUCAUAUGCAUUCUUUUGCUAUUUUCUUUUAGCAUCUUCUCAGACUAGUUUAAGUAUUUCAGAGUGCCACUACCAAAGAAACAUGUUUCUGUUUUCUUUGCUUUACAGUUGCAGUAGCACAAAACAUGAUGAUUGGACUUUAAGUUUUAUGAUGUCAUCCUCAUGUGUCUUAUACAACAUUCACAAAUGUUUCAGUCUGUUCAAGAUGAUUAACAGCAGUGUUACUUGAGGUGUUAAUACAGGUUAUUUGCUGUGGUACUAAUGCAGAUUGUUGGGAGGCAACAAAAUGCUACCCAGCUAGACAUUUCUUUCCAAAAAAAAGAUGGAUUGAUAUAUAGAUACAAGUCUAGAUGGUUUUAUAGGAAGAAAUGACAGACAUUUACCAUGUUUUAAUGGUUUACCAGUAUAUUUCUCCAUUUCAAUUGAAUUUGUAACGCAUAUAGUCCCCUCAAGAUGGAUAUCAGUUGGCAUAAUUUUGGUACUAAUAAUUUUGUUCUAAAUAAGGUUCAUCCCUGCAUAGUUCUGUCUUUGAUCUAAUUAUUUUCUAUAUUUAGAUUUUGUUUUUUUCACAGCUUUGACAUUUGAAGUGGCACAAAAUGACUUGGCAGCUUUAAGUAGAGUCGAUAGGUCUCAGCUCAUUGACAUUUGGCAUUUUAACAAAUUUAAUUUAACAUUUUUUACUAUGGUACUUUGCUUGGCACACUCUUUUCAGUUAAUGCUGUUUUCAGUUAUUGAUUUAGUGGUUUAAAAUCUGUACUUUCUUGUACUCCAGUUAUGUUUCACUAGGGCAAUCAUGAGAAGAUGUGACAGGAAAAAAUCUGCGCUUAAUUACUGUAGACGAAAUUCUGUAUGACACUGUGUGACAUACUGGAUGAAUAAUUUAAACUUCCUGAUUUUGUUUUUUUCCCAUGGAGAUAACAAAAAGAUUCACAUCCUCUUCUAUUUGUAUUUAUUUACAAAGACAUGUUAGAAGUUUUUCCACAAUCUUGUUUACCAUUUCACUGUGUAAUGAUACAGAUUUUCCAGUCCAGUAUGAAGGCUGUUAUGCCCGCUGUAAACGUCUUAGUGCAACAUUUUAUGUCAUGUUGUAUUGAAGGUUGGAUUUUCAGUAAAAAACAACAGCAAAAAGAAUCAACAACCACUAUUGUGAUAGCUUUCAGGUGUAGCAUUUUUAGGGGUUGGCUCUUUUAUGCCUUGAAGCGAUCUUUAGUAUGCAUUUACUGUAUGACCAAAAUGAAAUGAAGAUAAAAAAUAUGUUUUUCAUUUUAACUUAUUAAGAGGAUUUAUUUGAUUUAAGUUAUCAAUGUUUUGAAUGUAUUUAUUAACAGACAUGAUACUGUAUUUAUACUGACAUGAUUUAAUUUGCGCCGAGUGAGGAUGGGGAAAAGAAGAAGAAGAAAAAAAAAAAAAACGUUUGUAUACUUUUGAUCUGCAUUGACAAUAUGUUGUUGGUUUAAACUUUGGGCUGUUUUGUAUGCUGAAUGUCUUGAUAUUAAAUUUUUAAUGUGGA
Molecule: RNA transcript, 2427 nt
Organism: Ctenopharyngodon idella (grass carp)
Lineage: Eukaryota; Metazoa; Chordata; Actinopteri; Cypriniformes; Xenocyprididae
Gene: fam72a
Gene name: family with sequence similarity 72 member A
Exons: 5
Source: RefSeq, a predicted model, not a curated record